Molecule: non-coding RNA, 96 nt
Organism: Hypoxylon sp. CI-4A
Lineage: Eukaryota; Fungi; Ascomycota; Sordariomycetes; Xylariales; Hypoxylaceae
Source: the annotation of a GenBank genome assembly
GGUUUGAUGGUCUAGUGGUAGGAUUCUCGCUUUGGGAUUAGGAACUUCCUAUCGCAAACUUGCGAGAGGUCCCGGGUUCAAUCCCCGGUCAAACCC